This 318-nucleotide ribosomal RNA is filed under the name Triticum aestivum (bread wheat). RNAcentral's name for it is "partial small subunit ribosomal RNA". The record is from RNAcentral. Lineage: Eukaryota; Viridiplantae; Streptophyta; Magnoliopsida; Poales; Poaceae.
AUGCUUGCACUUUCCAUAUGGAGCUAGGAGCGAUUGCCGGUUGGACGACCGAAGACCGUGAAGUACGAGGAUUGGGACAACAAAGACGACCCACUAUGGCUCCUCACUUGGGCUUACAAGUGGGAUGUGGUAAAUGAGACGACGGAUGAUCCCUCGGUAAUGCACAAGUUGUACAAGACCGAGCUGGACAUGAUUACGGCUGAGCAGGCGACUCGACAUUGUAUAAGUGACUCUCAUGCUUCUAUCGUAACUCAAAAUCAAUUUUGCAUUCUAUGCUAUGUUGCAGGUGGAAUGGGAGCCGUAUGGAAGAGGGGAUAG